Molecule: transfer RNA, 69 nt
Filed under: Hierodula chinensis
Lineage: Eukaryota; Metazoa; Arthropoda; Insecta; Mantodea; Mantidae
Description: tRNA-Gln
Source: RNAcentral
WAWAUUUUGGUGUAUGGUGCACGAAAAUUUUUGAUAUUUUAGGAUAUAGUUUAAUUCUGUAAAAUAUAA